CCGCCGCGGUAACACCGGCAGCCCGAGUGGUGAUCACUAUUAUUGGGUCUAAAGGGUCCGUAGCCGGUUUAAUCAGUCUUCUGGGAAAUCUAAUCGCUUAACUAUUAGGCUUCCAGGGGAUACUGUUAGACUUGGGACCGGGAGAGGUAAGAGGUACUGCAGGGGUAGGAGUGAAAUCUUGUAAUCCCUGUGAGACCACCAGUGGCGAAGGCGUCUUACCAGAACGGGUCCGACGGUGAGGGACGAAAGCUGGGGGCACGAACCGGAUUAGAUACCCGGGUAGUCCCAGCUGUAAACGAUGCUCGUUAGGUGUCAGGAACGGUGCGACUGUUUCUGGUGCCGAAGGGAAGCCGUGAAACGAGCCACCUGGGAAGUACGGCCGCAAGGCUGAAACUUAAAGGAAUUGGCGGGGGAGCACUACAACGGGUGGAGCCUGCGGUUUAAUUGGACUCAACGCCGGAAAACUCACCGGGGGCGACAGCAAUAUGUAGGUCAGGUUAAAGGUCUUACCUGAAUCGCUGAGAGGAGGUGCAUGGCCGUCGUCAGUUCGUACUGUGAAGCAUCCUGUUAAGUCAGGCAACGAGCAAGACCCGUGCCCACUGUUACCAGCAUAUCCUUUAUGGAUGAUGGGGACUCUGUGGGGACCGCUGCUGCUAAAGCAGAGGAAGGUGCGGGCUACGGUAGGUCAGUAUGCCCCGAAUCUCCCGGGCUACACGCGGGCUACAAUGGUUGGGACAAUGGGUAUCUACUCCGAAAGGAGUUGGCAAUCUCUUAAACCCAAUCGUAGUUCGAAUUGAGGGCUGUAACUCGCCACUCAUGAAGCUGGAAUCCGUAGUAAUCGCGUUUCAACAUAGCGCGG
RNAcentral lists this ribosomal RNA (859 nucleotides) under uncultured archaeon. Its description in RNAcentral is "bacterial SSU rRNA". It matches the Rfam family "Archaeal small subunit ribosomal RNA", at positions 462 to 1318 of the family's 1478-position model. The record is from RNAcentral.